Molecule: ribosomal RNA, 253 nt
Filed under: uncultured bacterium
Lineage: Bacteria
Description: partial 16S ribosomal RNA
Rfam family: Bacterial small subunit ribosomal RNA
Source: RNAcentral
GACAGAGGGUGCAAACGUUGUUCGGAAUUACUGGGCGUAAAGCGCGUGUAGGCUGCUCGGAAAGUCGGAUGUGAAAGCCCUGGGCUCAACCUAGGAAGAGCAUUCGAAACUCCCGAGCUUGAGUUCCGGAGAGGAAGGCGGAAUUCUCGGUGUAGAGGUGAAAUUCGUAGAUAUCGAGAGGAACACCGGUGGCGAAGGCGGCCUUCUGGACGGUGACUGACGCUGAGACGCGAAAGCGUGGGGAGCAAACAGG